This is a long non-coding RNA of Polyodon spathula (Mississippi paddlefish), 1148 nucleotides long. RefSeq lists it as uncharacterized. Lineage: Eukaryota; Metazoa; Chordata; Actinopteri; Acipenseriformes; Polyodontidae. The record is from RefSeq and is a predicted model, not a curated record. The transcript has 3 exons.
GGUGACCAAAAAAAAAAAUCUUCAUAUUUUUUUGUAAAGAUAUAUUGAUGGCCUAAAAAACCUUUCAAAGCUUUUGCUCAUGGGAUGUGACCUAGAGAUUCUAAACUAUGUCAUUUUGUUGACCAAUGUUCUGAACCGCCUGAGUUUGGAGCCUGGUGCCACAGUAGAGCUGCAGACACGAACAAGGAGUGCCUUAAUCGCUUCAGUGUGUGGACUCCACCUCACUCACCAGGGAGCACUGAUUGAUAAGCUGUAUAUGCUUAAUGAUUUAAUAGAGGUUAAAUAGCAGAUAACCUUCAACAGUGCAAAGCUGGUCGGUCAUGUCAAUGAUCUGUCACAGCACUUCCAGGAGCCUUUUACCCCAGGUAGCUAUUAUUUUUGGAUGAAUGGACAAUAAGGAUCCUGGUGAGUCUGCUGUCGAAUGCCAUUGAAGUCCGUGACAACACCACUGAAGAGGCAUCGAGUUCAUCGCUGAUGGGACAAGGAGGACUAGAGAGCUGCUGCUGGUGAGUCCCUUUACUAGAACUUCACAGAUACCCUCCCAGAUGACAAACAAUGGUGAUGUCAGCGGUGAAAAAAAUAAUCCAUUGUCACGCUGUAAGCCUAUGGAUUAUUCAUUACUCUUAGUUGUAAAAAAUAAAAACUAAAGUACAACCCUCUUCCAAUAAUACUCUAAAAAUGCAAGUUUGGUCUUUCUUUUUUUAAAGAUCUGCAUUUUAUUCCCCAAUAUCUGAUGUGGAUCAAAUUUCAACAGUUUAUCAUGUGUACUGGUAAUGUGCAUGUUAUUUGAAAAAUUGUUUAUUGAAAAAAUACUUUUAACUCUAAGUGCUUUUAAAAACAUUUCAGAAAUAUGUGAUUUUUAUAAACAACACUUAGUUUAAUGGAACCACCAGUCAGAUGGAGCUCCAGACUACUCAACACUGCAGCUUUCAGAAUGCAGUGGAGGGAACUGGCUCCACAAAAUUUUACUUUCCUGACAUUUUAAACAAGCACAUAACUGCACAGACUGGCAGGAACAGCACGUGCUAUAACAGUCAGCUUCUGUCCUUCAAGCAAAAUCUUACUUCUGGGGAACAGCACCUGUUAAGGUAAGAGUUAUUUAAAAAAAAAAAAAAAAAAGUACAAAGUACUAAAAAGAAACAUUUUAA